Molecule: long non-coding RNA, 1647 nt
Organism: Myotis brandtii (Brandt's bat)
Lineage: Eukaryota; Metazoa; Chordata; Mammalia; Chiroptera; Vespertilionidae
Exons: 4
Source: RefSeq, a predicted model, not a curated record
UGGAGCUAGCGAUCCUGCUCGCGCUUCAGCCUGCGGGAGGGACACCUCCUGGGUAUUCUCGAAAUUCAGCUCUCGGUUCCUGGGAUCUUGGAAUCUGCUCACACGUGGCUUGUACGGCGGAGGUUGUCCGGUCAGCGGGUUGCGGAGGAUCCCGCAGGUAGCAAAGGGAGGGCGAGGGCCCCUGCGACCCCAGACUGCGACUAGAACAUCCAUCAUUGUUAGCCCCGCAGCUAGCUUGGACACCAUUAAAAGGGCUCAUCAGCUUCAAAUGAAUAAAAGUAUCUGAUAUUCAUGAAGACAGAGUUUCAGGGCUUCUACCAGGAGCUACACUCUCUAGAAGCCCCUGCUUGGCCUUCCUGCACCCAACCCCACCCCAACUAGUCACAACUUGGCUGUGUAUGGUGUUUCUUGGCAACUGGAACACAGACUCCUCCAGCAGCUCCACAGAUCCCUUGUCCUCAGUGAGCAGAAGACUACAGAAACUGUCUACUGAAGAGGCUGUCCAUGUGAUUGAGCUCGGCUCUGCUUAACACACUUACCACAGAGCAGUAACUGAGUGCUGGAUGUUACUCAUUCGUGCUCACCUCCUGCAGGUCACCCACUCCAUGACAUUCAUCCUUUAGUAUCUGCUCUUCGCUAAGGAGAAAACAACACCACCUGUCGUCUGUUAACCCGAGGACAGAAUGCCCAGGUGAGCCUGACUCACAGUACCUGUACUUAGCUAACCUUGACCAUGUGCUGCCAAAGCUCCUGCAAGCCCUCCCUCCAAGCACAGCAGCAGCCCAGCUCCGGAGCGGACAGGCAUUCCACCCCACAGAAGUGAUCUGCUGUCACCUACUCUUGGGGGGCAAAGGGGAUUGUGGGGAGAUUAGAAGAAGAUAGAUGGGCCCACUCCGUCAACCCAUGUUGUUAUCAGGAAAUUCAUUCUGGUCCACACAACAACCCCGCUGGUGCACUGACUGAGGGGAGCCACGUGUUUAGUUCCCUGGACUGCCGUGUGACCUCACCCACUGACUUCCCCAGAAGGGGCUCUUGUAACCCCUUCAGGAAGCUGAAGCCAGACAGUGACUGAGAGGUUCUGUUCAGCUCCUCCUCUCCUGGGCAGCUUCACCCAGGAGUAACUUCAGUAGCCAGUGGGGUGUGUGCUCGCCACUCAGGUUUUCAAAACAAAACCAUAUAUUGUUUAGGGAUACUUACACAGGAAGCAAAACUUUCAAGAAAAGCAAAAAAGAGAGAGAGAGAGAGAGAGAGAGAACAUCAAGGUCAGGAUAAUGGUUUCCUCUGGGGCAGGGGAAGAGGUAUGUGAAGGGAAACAGGAGGGUUCUAAAAUAUGUUCUAGUUCUUAGCAUGGUUGGCAGGUAGAUGGGAAUUUUAUUAUUCUUCCUUAAACUGUACAAGUUUUAGAAACUGUUCCAUAUGUUCAGUGCAUUUAAAAUUUUAACAGAAACACAGUUUUCAAACCAAAUAAUACGUACAACUGACUGAACACAUAGAAUCAAAGAUAAUCACAAUAAACACAUCAGAAUACCUGCCUAUAGAGGGAGAGGGUUGGAAAUGGGAGUGGAGAACGAGAAAAUGAGAUGCACGAAUUUAUAUAUAUAAAAGCCCAGCGACCAUUAUGGCAGAAUGAUUGGAACAACCAGAACA